RNAcentral lists this ribosomal RNA (114 nucleotides) under Acanthosepion pharaonis. Lineage: Eukaryota; Metazoa; Mollusca; Cephalopoda; Sepiida; Sepiidae. The record is from RNAcentral.
UAUGGCCACAUCACAUUGAAAUACUGGUUCCCGUACAAUCACUGAAGUUAAGCAAGGUUGAAUCUGGUUAGUAUCUAGAUGGGUGACUGCUUGGGAAUACCAGGUGCUGUAAGC